UAAUACAGAGGGUGCGAGCGUUAAUCGGAUUUACUGGGCGUAAAGCGUGCGUAGGCGGCUUUUUAAGUCGGAUGUGAAAUCCCCGAGCUUAACUUGGGAAUUGCAUUCGAUACUGGGAAGCUAGAGUAUGGGAGAGGAUGGUAGAAUUCCAGGUGUAGCGGUGAAAUGCGUAGAGAUCUGGAGGAAUACCGAUGGCGAAGGCAGCCAUCUGGCCUAAUACUGACGCUGAGGUACGAAAGCAUGGGGAGCAAACAGGAUUAGAUACCCUGGUAGUCCAUGCCGUAAACGAUGUCUACUAGCCGUUGGGGCCUUUGAGGCUUUAGUGGCGCAGCUAACGCGAUAAGUAGACCGCCUGGGGAGUACGGUCGCAAGACUAAA
This 378-nucleotide ribosomal RNA is filed under the name uncultured bacterium. RNAcentral describes it as "bacterial SSU rRNA". It matches the Rfam family "Bacterial small subunit ribosomal RNA", at positions 521 to 898 of the family's 1533-position model. The record is from RNAcentral.